This is a long non-coding RNA of Ruditapes philippinarum (Manila clam), 1175 nucleotides long. RefSeq lists it as uncharacterized. Lineage: Eukaryota; Metazoa; Mollusca; Bivalvia; Venerida; Veneridae. The record is from RefSeq and is a predicted model, not a curated record. The transcript has 2 exons.
AUAUCAUUAAUUAUGCCCCCAUUUCGAAGAAAAGGGGGUAUAUUGCUUUGCACUUGUCGGUCCGUCGGUCCGUCGACCAAAUGGUUUCCGAGUGAUAACUAAAGAACCCUUAGGCCUAGGAACUUCAAACUUGGUAUGGUGAUUGGUCAUGACCAGUAGAUGACCCCUAUUGAUUUUGGGGUCAAGGGGUCAAAGGUCAAGGUCACAUUGACCUUGUAAGCAAAAACGGUUUCUGAUCAAUAACUAAAGAACCUUAAGGCCUAGGAACUUCAAACUUGGUAUGGUGAUUGGUCAUGAUCAGUAGAUGACCCCUAUUGAUUUUGGGGUCAAGGGGUCAAAGGUCAAGGUCACAUUGACCUUGUAAGCAAAAACGGUUUCCGAUCAAUAACUAAAGAACCUGAAGGCCUAGGAACUUCAAACUUGGGAUGGUGAUUGGUCAUGAUCAGUAGAUGACCCCUAUUGAUUUUGGGGUCAAGGGGUCAAAGGUCAAGGUCACAUUGACCUUGUAAGCAAAAACGGUUUCUGAUCAAUAACUAAAGAACUUUAAGGCCUAGGAACUUCAAACUUGGUAUGGUGAUUGGUCAUGAUCAGUAGAUGACCCCUAUUGAUUUUGGGGUCAAGGGGUCAAAGGUCAAGGUCACAUUGACCUCUUGGGUAAAAACGGUUUCUGACCAAUAACAAAAGAACCCUUAGGCCUAGGAACUUCAAACUUGGUAUGGUGAUUGGUUAUGACCAGCAGAUGACCUCUAUUGAUUUUGGGGUUAAGUGGUCAAAGGUCAAGGUCACAUUGAACUUGUAGGUAAAAACGGUUUCCGAUCAAUAACGAAAGAACCCUUAGGCCUAGGAACUUCAAACUUGAUAUGGUGAUUGGUCAUGAUCAGUAGAUGACCCCUAUUGAUUUUGGGGUCAAGGGGUCAAAGGUCAAGGUCACAUUGACCUCUUAGGUUAAAACGGUUUCCGAUCAAUAACUAAAGAACCCUUAGGCCAAGGGACUUCAAACUUGGUAUGGUGAUUGGUCAUGACCAGCAGAUGACCCCUAUUGAUAUUGGGGUUAAGGGGUCAAUGGGCAAGGUCACAUUGACCUUGUAGGUAAAAAUGCUUUACAAUCAAUAACUUAAGAACCCUUAGGCUUAGGAACUUCAAACUUGGUAUGGUGAUUGGUCAUGACCAGCAGA